RNAcentral lists this ribosomal RNA (253 nucleotides) under uncultured bacterium. Its description in RNAcentral is "partial 16S ribosomal RNA". It matches the Rfam family "Bacterial small subunit ribosomal RNA", at positions 524 to 776 of the family's 1533-position model. The record is from RNAcentral.
UACGAAGGGGGCUAGCGCUGUUCGGAAUCACUGGGCGUAAAGCGCACGUAGGCGGAUUGUUAAGUCGGGGGUGAAAUCCUGAGGCUCAACCUCAGAACUGCCUUCGAUACUGGCGAUCUUGAGUCCGGAAGAGGUUGGUGGAACAGCUAGUGUAGAGGUGAAAUUCGUAGAUAUUAGCUAGAACACCAGUGGCGAAGGCGGCCAACUGGUCCGGAACUGACGCUGAGGUGCGAAAGCGUGGGGAGCAAACAGG